GCAAUGUGCAGAUAUACAGCAGUACUCACCUCAAAUUACAGAAAGUCAUACAACAAGAUCCCUGCUGGUUCCAUGAUACACACAUUCCAUACACAGACACAGACACAUUCCAUACACACACACACAUUCCAUACACGUGCACACACACAUUCCAUACACACAGACACACAUUCCAUACACACAGACACAUAUUCGAUACAUUCCACACACACACACAUUCCAUACACACACAUUCCAUACACACACAUUCCAUACACACACAUUCCAUACACACACAUUCCAUACAUACACACACAUUCCACACACACACAUUCCAUACACAUACACACACAUUCCAUACACGCACACACACAUUCCAUACACACAAACAUUCCAUACACACACACACAUUCCAUACACAUACACAGACACACAUUCCAUACACACACACACAUUCCAUACACAGACACACAUUCCAUAAACACACACACAUUCCAUACACACACACAUUCCAUACACACACACAUUCCAUAUACACACAUUCCAUACACACACAUAGACACACAUUCCAUAUACACACACGCCAUACACACAUUCCAAACACACACACACAUUCCAUACACACACAUAUUCCAUACACACACAUUCCAUACACACAUACAUACACACACACAUACACAGACACACAUUCCAUGCACACACACACAUUCCAUACACACACACAUUCCAUACACACACCUUCCAUAGCAACAGACACACGCUCCAUACACACACAUUGCAUACACAUACACACACAUUCCAUACACACACAUUCCAUACACAUGCACAGUUACCCAUUCCAUACACACACACAUUCCAUACACAGACACACACCAUACACACACACAGACACACAUUCCAUACACACACACAUUCUGUAUGCACACACACACAUUCCAUACCCACACACACACAUUCGAUACGCACAUAUAUUCCAUAUACACACACACAUUCCAUACACAGACACAUUCCAUACACACACAGACACAUUCCAUACACAUACACAGACACAUUCUGUACACACAGACACACAUUCCAUACACAGACACAUUCCAUACACACACAGACACAUUCCAUACACAUACACAGACACAUUCUGUACACACAGACACACAUUCCAUACACACACACAUUCAGACACAUUCCAUACUCACACACACACUUUCCAUACACAUACACAGACAUGCAUUCCAUACACACACACACAGUCCAUGCACACACACAAACACAUUCCAUACACAUACACACAUUCCACACACAUACACACACAGACAUUCCAUACACACACAGAGGCAUAUUCCAUACACACACACACACAUUCCAUACACACACACAUUCCAUACGCACAAACACAUUCCAUACACACACACAUAUUCCAUAAACACAAACACAUUCCAUACACACACACAGACUAAUUCCAUACACAGAGACACAUUCCAUACACUUACGCAGACACAUUCCACACACACACACAUUCCAUGCACACACAUAGACUCAUUCCGUACACACACAUAGACACAUUCCAUACACACACAGACACAUUCCAUAUGCAUACGCAGGUAUGUCCCCAAAGAAAUAGAUUGUCUCCAUCAUAUGCACAUUAA
RNAcentral lists this long non-coding RNA (1622 nucleotides) under Homo sapiens (human). RNAcentral describes it as "non-protein coding lnc-SPANXB1-7:6". The record is from RNAcentral. Lineage: Eukaryota; Metazoa; Chordata; Mammalia; Primates; Hominidae.